Molecule: long non-coding RNA, 1177 nt
Organism: Lycium barbarum (goji berry)
Lineage: Eukaryota; Viridiplantae; Streptophyta; Magnoliopsida; Solanales; Solanaceae
Exons: 5
Source: RefSeq, a predicted model, not a curated record
AUCAGCAGCCAUAAAACAUAUGGGUUUUCUUCUCCACAGAAAAUUUCCUCUUCGAUCUCCAUUGUCAUUUUUCAUCCUUAUACAAGCUACCCAUAUUGGUGAAAAAGAUUCAAAAGGUCCUGAAAGUCCCAAAUCUAAGAAUCAAAACUCUAUCUCUCUAUUUAUGUUGCUCCCUUUCUCAGCUAGAUCUAUUUUUUCUCAAAAUCCCCCAAAUCACAAGAUUUAAAUCUUAGUUUCUCAAUUCUUAAUUGAAGGAACAACUUUGCUGCUCCGUUUCUUUGCUUCCAGUUAGUGACCCAAAAUCUCAAGUCAGGACUAUAAAGAGUUUCGCAUAAAAGAGUCAUCCAGAGCGUAUUUGGUAUUGUUAUUGUGGAUUCGAUCUUGACAGAACUCUCAGUUAUUUCUUUUUUUGGGAAAUGAAAGGAAUUGGACGAGGUAAAAGUGUGAGAGGCGGGACGAGCCGUGGACAUGACAAUUUUCGAGGACGUGGAAGUUCAGGAACGAUGUCUCAACCACAAAUACAACCAACAGAGAUUAACAAGGCAUCUUUGGAGAUAGGACAAUCAAGUAACCUAACUCAAGGACCUAUACAGACCGAACAAACAUCAAGUAGCCCUCUCCAAAGAACAUCUCUAGAGACACAAUCAUCAAGGAAUCUAGAAGAAAGUGUACUUCCCUCUCCAUAGGCUUCAAAUGGUGUAGUUUAUCGCAUCAAUAAAAAGAAAGUUGCAAGAAGAACUUAACCGGAAGUUGCAAGAAGAACAUGAACAAAUGGAUAUUGACUUAAAAAGGGAUAUGGAACAAGAUUUGCAAAACAAAUUGAAAGAGGAGCGUGCACACAUGAAAGGAGAAUUUGACAAGAUGUUCCAAGAACAAAUAGCUGCUUUCAUGACUAGAAUGCAACAGGGACGAGGUUCUUAAACAAUGGAGAAAACCAAAAAAAAGUUUGAAGGCGUGCAAUAGAAGUUUUUGGUCAUAUAUAAUAUGCAUAAAAUGAAAGUUUUUAUGUAAUAUGCAUACAAUGGAAGUGUUUGAUGAUAUGUAAUAUAUAUACGUUGGAAGUUUUUGCUUUUUUGGGUCAUAUGUAUAUGCAUAUAAUGAACCGAAGUACUAUGUCCAUAGUAUAUCUGUUGUUGACUUUUAAGUAAUGAAAGUAUUUAUCAUAUUUGGCUUGGAA